AAGCCAUGAUGAGGACAUCUCAAGGUAUAGCCCUUGAAUAUUUCCCAAGAUUCACCAAAAUCUUCUAAGUUCUUUUGUUCAAACCUAGAGAUCUCAUUUCUUAUCUU
Brassica oleracea var. oleracea is the source of this 107-nucleotide small nucleolar RNA. It matches the Rfam family "Plant small nucleolar RNA R71". Rfam says of the family: R71 is a member of the C/D box family of snoRNAs containing the C (UGAUGA) and D (CUGA) box motifs. Multiple nearly identical copies of this snoRNA have been identified in Arabidopsis, and it is thought to function as a 2'-O-ribose methylation guide for 18S ribosomal RNA. The record is from Rfam. Lineage: Eukaryota; Viridiplantae; Streptophyta; Magnoliopsida; Brassicales; Brassicaceae.